This 1141-nucleotide ribosomal RNA is filed under the name Arthrobacter agilis. Its description in RNAcentral is "bacterial SSU rRNA". It matches the Rfam family "Bacterial small subunit ribosomal RNA", at positions 41 to 1173 of the family's 1533-position model. Lineage: Bacteria; Bacillati; Actinomycetota; Actinomycetes; Micrococcales; Micrococcaceae. The record is from RNAcentral.
GGUUUUUUUAGGGCAGUCGUUAGCAUGCAGUCGACGAUGAACCUCACUUGUGGGGGGAUUAGUGGCGAACGGGUGAGUAACACGUGAGUAACCUGCCCUUGACUCUGGGAUAAGCCUGGGAAACCGGGUCUAAUACUGGAUACGACCUUCUGGCGCAUGCCAUGUUGGUGGAAAGCUUUUGUGGUUUUGGAUGGACUCGCGGCCUAUCAGCUUGUUGGUGGGGUAAUGGCCUACCAAGGCGACGACGGGUAGCCGGCCUGAGAGGGUGACCGGCCACACUGGGACUGAGACACGGCCCAGACUCCUACGGGAGGCAGCAGUGGGGAAUAUUGCACAAUGGGCGCAAGCCUGAUGCAGCGACGCCGCGUGAGGGAUGAAGGCCUUCGGGUUGUAAACCUCUUUCAGUAGGGAAGAAGCCGGCUCUUUGGGUUGGUGACGGUACCUGCAGAAGAAGCGCCGGCUAACUACGUGCCAGCAGCCGCGGUAAUACGUAGGGCGCAAGCGUUAUCCGGAAUUAUUGGGCGUAAAGAGCUCGUAGGCGGUUUGUCGCGUCUGCCGUGAAAGUCCGGGGCUUAACCCCGGAUCUGCGGUGGGUACGGGCAGACUAGAGUGCAGUAGGGGAGACUGGAAUUCCUGGUGUAGCGGUGAAAUGCGCAGAUAUCAGGAGGAACACCGAUGGCGAAGGCAGGUCUCUGGGCUGUAACUGACGCUGAGGAGCGAAAGCAUGGGGAGCGAACAGGAUUAGAUACCCUGGUAGUCCAUGCCGUAAACGUUGGGCACUAGGUGUGGGGGGACAUUCCACGUUUUCCGCGCCGUAGCUAACGCAUUAAGUGCCCCGCCUGGGGAGUACGGCCGCAAGGCUAAAACUCAAAGGAAUUGACGGGGGCCCGCACAAGCGGCGGAGCAUGCGGAUUAAUUCGAUGCAACGCGAAGAAUCUUUACCAAGGCUUGACAUGAACCGGAAUGAUGCAGAGAUGUGUCAGCCACUUGUGGGCCGGUUUACAGGUGGUGCAUGGUUGUCGUCAGCUCGUGUCGUGAGAUGUGGGGUUAGUCCCGCACGAGCGCACCCUCGGUUCCAUGGUGGCAGCGGUUAUGCCCGGGGACUCAUGGGAGACUGCCCGGGGUUCAACUCGUAGGUAAU